ACUGGAGCUAAUACUGGAUAGGAUGUGUGCAUGAAAAAAACACAUUUAAAGAUUUAUCGGUUUAAGAGGGGUCUGCGGCGCAUUAGUUAGUUGGUGGGGUAAAAGCCUACCAAGACGAUGAUGCGUAGCCGGACUGAGAGGUCUACCGGCCACAUUGGGACUGAGAACGGCCCAAACUCCUACGGGAGGCAGCAGUAGGGAAUUUUCGGCAAUGGGGGAAACCCUGACCGAGCAACGCCGCGUGAACGACGAAGUACUUCGGUAUGUAAAGUUCUUUUAUAUGGGAAGAAAAAUUAAAAAUUGACGGUACCAUAUGAAUAAGCCCCGGCUAACUAUGUGCCAGCAGCCGCGGUAAUACAUAGGUCGCAAGCGUUAUCCGA
This 380-nucleotide ribosomal RNA is filed under the name Acholeplasma laidlawii. RNAcentral's name for it is "bacterial SSU rRNA". It matches the Rfam family "Bacterial small subunit ribosomal RNA", at positions 156 to 548 of the family's 1533-position model. Lineage: Bacteria; Bacillati; Mycoplasmatota; Mollicutes; Acholeplasmatales; Acholeplasmataceae. The record is from RNAcentral.